GCGGCGCAUUGAGCCACACUGUCUCACUCGGGCGGUGGCUGCAAGGUUCCGAACCUUCUUGGUUGGAGCAACCUGUAAUUCAGGUACAGCACCGGAUUGGGGAAUUGAUUAACACCAGAUUCAGGCCAUGAGCUCGUCUAUGCGUAUCCAGUGACUGUGGGCACGUGUCUCCUAGAACGUAUCGACUAGGAUCAGGCAAUUCAGCUCCUCCAACCUGCUCCAUUUGGUCAGGAUCUGUCAAGCUGCUCAUCGUCUGGCUGAAAAGGUAUGGCUGAUUCUGCAUGCCAAGAAUCUGGUACCCAGAUUAUCCUAAGGACCUGAGUAAAGGAAGAUUUGCUGCUAGAUGUGAACAAUCUUUGGAUGUAUGACUCCACAAAUGUUCAGAUAUUUGAUCAGUAUUGUGCAAGGACAAAACUGAUGGAAGAUUCUUGUGACUCCAGAUGAAGUUUGGCUUUGGACCAAUCUUGUGCACCAGGGGCAAGAACUAUUAUGGCAUUAAUCAGACAGUGUGGAAACAGACCCUCCAGUCUGUCAGUUCAACCAGUCCAUGCUGACCAUGUGCCCAAACUAAACUAGUUCCUACCUACUUUAAUCUCAAGUUGUAGGAUCUGGGAUCAUUGCAGCACCAGUGAGGGAGCUGCAUCAAUUGGAGGUUCAGAUGACAUGGUGAAAUGAGAUUUUAUGGUAUCAAGUGGCCUUAAACAAAUGGCUUCUGCAGAAAGGAUCUAAAAGCACAAGUAUCUCUUUAAAGGAAAGGCUUCUGAGGAACUCGAGUGGGAUAUUACAAUCUGGACAGGUGAAAGGAUGCCAAUCAAGAUUGGACUAAUUCCUGUAAUGUUGUAACAAACAGCAAAUAUAAAAUAAAGUGGAAAUGAAACCAAA
This is a long non-coding RNA of Rhincodon typus (whale shark), 882 nucleotides long. RefSeq lists it as uncharacterized. The record is from RefSeq and is a predicted model, not a curated record. Lineage: Eukaryota; Metazoa; Chordata; Chondrichthyes; Orectolobiformes; Rhincodontidae. The transcript has 12 exons.